GAUGUACUCCCUCCAUCCGGAAAUACUUAGUUGAAGAAAUGGAUGUAUCUUUGACGUAUUUUAGUUCUAGAUACAUCCAUUUUUAUCCAUUUCUUCGACAAGUAUUUCCGGAUGGAGGGAGUAUCAC
Molecule: non-coding RNA, 127 nt
Organism: Hordeum vulgare subsp. vulgare (domesticated barley)
Lineage: Eukaryota; Viridiplantae; Streptophyta; Magnoliopsida; Poales; Poaceae
Source: Rfam